AGAGCGAACGCUGGCGGCAGGCCUAACACAUGCAAGUCGAGCGCCCGUAGCAAUACGGGAGCGGCAGACGGGAUAGUAACACGUGGGAACGCGCCCUUCGGUUCGGAAUAACUCAGGGAAACUUGAGCUAAUACCGGAUACGCCCUUACGGGGAAAGAUUUAUUGCCGAAGGAACGGCCCGCGUCCGAUUAGCUAGUUGGUGAGGUAAUGGCUCACCAAGGCUACGAUCGGUAGCUGGUCUGAGAGGAUGACCAGCAUCACUGGGACUGAGACACGGCCCAGACUCCUACGGGAGGCAGCAGUGGGGAAUAUGGACAAUGGGCGCAAGCCUGAUCCAGCCAUGCCGCGUGGAUGAUGAAGGCCUUAGGGUUGUAAAGUCCUUUAACGGGAAGAUAAUGACGGUACCGUAGAAUAAGCCCCGGCUAACUUCGUGCCAGCAGCCGC
RNAcentral lists this ribosomal RNA (444 nucleotides) under uncultured bacterium. RNAcentral describes it as "SSU rRNA". It matches the Rfam family "Bacterial small subunit ribosomal RNA", at positions 26 to 518 of the family's 1533-position model. The record is from RNAcentral.